CCUUUAGAGUUUGAUCCUGGCUCAGAUUGAACGCUGGCGGCAGGCCUAACACAUGCAAGUCGAGCGGUAACAUUUCUAGCUUGCUAGAAGAUGACGAGCGGCGGACGGGUGAGUAAUGCUUGGGAAUAUGCCUUAGGGUGGGGGACAACAGUUGGAAACGACUGCUAAUACCGCAUAACGUCUACGGACCAAAGGGGGCUUCGGCUCUCGCCCUUAGAUUAGCCCAAGUGGGAUUAGCUAGUUGGUGAGGUAAUGGCUCACCAAGGCGACGAUCCCUAGCUGGUUUGAGAGGAUGAUCAGCCACACUGGAACUGAGACACGGUCCAGACUCCUACGGGAGGCAGCAGUGGGGAAUAUUGCACAAUGGGCGCAAGCCUGAUGCAGCCAUGCCGCGUGUGUGAAGAAGGCCUUAGGGUUGUAAAGCACUUUCAGUAAGGAGGAAAGGUUAGUAGUUAAUACCUGCUAGCUGUGACGUACU
Molecule: ribosomal RNA, 478 nt
Filed under: Pseudoalteromonas sp. B24
Lineage: Bacteria; Pseudomonadati; Pseudomonadota; Gammaproteobacteria; Alteromonadales; Pseudoalteromonadaceae
Description: bacterial SSU rRNA
Rfam family: Bacterial small subunit ribosomal RNA
Source: RNAcentral